GAUAAACGCUAGCGGGAGGCCUAACACAUGCAAGCCGAGCGGUAGAGAUUCUUCGGAAUCUUGAGAGCGGCGUACGGGUGCGGAACACGUGUGCAACCUGCCUUUAUCAGGGGGAUAGCCUUUCGAAAGGAAGAUUAAUACCCCAUAAUAUAUUUGAUGGCAUCAUUAGAUAUUGAAAGCUUUGGCGGAUAGAGAUGGGCACGCGCAAGAUUAGAUAGUUGGUGAGGUAACGGCUCACCAAGUCGAUGAUCUUUAGGGGGCCUGAGAGGGUGAUCCCCCACACUGGUACUGAGACACGGACCAGACUCCUACGGGAGGCAGCAGUGAGGAAUAUUGGACAAUGGGUUAGCGCCUGAUCCAGCCAUCCCGCGUGAAGGACGACGGCCCUAUGGGUUGUAAACUUCUUUUGUACAGGGAUAAACCUACUCUCGUGAGAGUAGCUGAAGGUACUGUACGAAUAAGCACCGGCUAACUCCGUG
Molecule: ribosomal RNA, 479 nt
Filed under: uncultured bacterium
Lineage: Bacteria
Description: partial 16S ribosomal RNA
Rfam family: Bacterial small subunit ribosomal RNA
Source: RNAcentral